ACACGGAGGGCGCAAGCGUUGCUCGGAAUCACUGGGCGUAAAGCGGGUGUAGGCGGUCUAGCAAGUCAGAUGUGAAAGCCCACGGCUCAACCGUGGAAGUGCAUCUGAAACUGCUAGACUUGAGUGCCGGAGAGGGAAGUGGAAUUCCCGGUGUAGGGGUGAAAUCCGUAGAUAUCAGGAGGAACACCGGUGGCGAAGGCGACUUCCUGGACGGCCACUGACGCUGAGACCCGAAAGCGUGGGGAGCAAACAGGAUUAGAAACCCUAGUAGUCCC
Molecule: ribosomal RNA, 275 nt
Filed under: uncultured bacterium
Lineage: Bacteria
Description: partial 16S ribosomal RNA
Rfam family: Bacterial small subunit ribosomal RNA
Source: RNAcentral